This 378-nucleotide ribosomal RNA is filed under the name uncultured eukaryote. RNAcentral's name for it is "partial 18S ribosomal RNA". It matches the Rfam family "Eukaryotic small subunit ribosomal RNA", at positions 592 to 976 of the family's 1831-position model. The record is from RNAcentral.
CAAUAGCGUAUAUUAAAGUUGUUGCAGUUAAAAAGCUCGUAGUUGGAUUUCGGGACGGGCCAGUUGGUCCGCCGCAAGGUGUGUUACUGACUGGUCUGUUCUUCUUCGCAAAGACUGCGUGUGCUCUUCGUUGAGUGUGCGUAGGAUUUACGACGUUUACUUUGAAAAAAUUAGAGUGUUCAAAGCAGGCUAUCGCUUGAAUACAUGAGCAUGGAAUAAUGGAAUAGGACUUUGGUCCUAUUUUGUUGGUUUCUAGGACCGAAGUAAUGAUUAAGAGGGACAAUUGGGGGCAUCCGUAUUUCGUUGUCAGAGGUGAAAUUCUUGGAUUUACUAAAGACGAACAACUGCGAAAGCACUUGCCAAGAGUGUUUUCAUUAA